GACGAACGCUGGCGGCGUGCUUAACACAUGCAAGUCGAACGGAAAGGCCCUGCUUUUGUGGGGGGCUCGAGUGGCGAACGGGUGAGUAACACGUGAGUAACCUGCCCUGGACUUUGGGAUAACUUCAGGAAACUGGGGAUAAUACCGGAUAGGAGCUCCUGCUGCAUGGUGGGGGUUGGAAAGUUUGGGCGGUUGGGGAUGGACUCGCGGCUUAUCAGCUUGUUGGUGGGGUAGUGGCUUACCAAGGCUUUGACGGGUAGCCGGCCUGAGAGGGUGACCGGCCACAUUGGGACUGAGAUACGGCCCAGACUCCUACGGGAGGCAGCAGUGGGGAAUAUUGCACAAUGGGCGGAAGCCUGAUGCAGCAACGCCGCGUGCGGAAUGACGGCCUUCGGGUUGUAAACCGCUUUCGCCUGUGACGAAGCGUGAGUGACGGUAAUGGGUAAAGAAGCACCGGCUAACUACGUG
Molecule: ribosomal RNA, 468 nt
Filed under: uncultured bacterium
Lineage: Bacteria
Description: partial 16S ribosomal RNA
Rfam family: Bacterial small subunit ribosomal RNA
Source: RNAcentral